This 237-nucleotide ribosomal RNA is filed under the name uncultured bacterium. RNAcentral's name for it is "partial 16S ribosomal RNA". It matches the Rfam family "Bacterial small subunit ribosomal RNA", at positions 57 to 305 of the family's 1533-position model. The record is from RNAcentral.
GCAAGUCGAGCGGUAGAAAAUAUUAGCUUGCUAAUGUUUUUUAGAGCGGCGAAAGGGUGAGUAACACGUUGGUAUCUGCCCCCAAGUGAGGAUAGCAAUUGGAAACGAUGAUUAAUACCGGAUAGUCUCUUCGGAGUAAAGAUUUAUUGCUUGGGGAGGAACCUGCGUUCUAUCAGCUAGUUGGUGAGGUAAAAGCUCACCAAGGCUAUGACGGAUACCUGGUCUGAGAGGAUGAUC